AUCCAUGAGAAGACACAGUGUUCCAUCCAGAGGAUGUAGCAUCAAGGCGUCAUCUUAAAAGCAGAGAAAAGACUCUUACUUGACACCAGAUGCCAGUGCAUUGAUCUUGGACUUCCCAGCCUCUAGAACUGUAAACAGCCCUGGGACAAAGAACAGACUACGGGUAUUGCCUUCUUAAUCAACAAUAAAGUAUUAGUUGGCUUCCAGGCAGACACCACUGACUUUCAAGAGAAAGGCACGGGAGUAAGGAAGUAAAGAAUUCAGAAUUCACUAUGGAGCUCAUACAACUACCACCUUCAGCUAUUAAUCAAGGAGUCAUUCAACUGAGAAAGGGGAGAUUGAGAUGUUGAAUCAUUUCUCAUUCUGUGAAGUCUACCAGAAUAACCCAUAAAGCAAAUAUCAACCUAUUUCAAUUAGAAAAAUGAAAAAUACUGAUACAGCAGACGAAUUCUGGAACUAACACUUCCACAAAUCAUUGAUAAUCCAUUUUCCAACUUCUUCAAAUUCCAGACCAUCAACAAGCUAUUCAAAACAAUAAAUGUUAAUAGUUUUGGUGGAGUUAAGCAGCAGAAGUUAAAAGCAUUGUGGAAGACAGUAUGGUGAUUCCUCAAGGAUCUAGAAGCGGAAAUACCAUUUGACCCAGCAAUCCCAUUAUUGGGACAUCAAGGGCUCCGGACAUUGUGAAAGUUUCCCUUUAAGUUACGACGGGAAUCCAGAACAACGCCGUAUGGACCCCUCUGCAGGUAGCAAGGAAAAGCGCCAGUAACUUUUAAAGGCUUGUUUUGCAUAUUAUUCAGGCCUAAAUCACGGUUCUCAUAAAUUGAUUAUCAUGUCCCUUUCAUCUGUCCAUUUAUGCUUCUAAAUGGUUCUUAAUGGUUCACUAUAUUUGAAGGCCAUAACCAUUUGCUGAUGAGUUACUAGUUUAAUUUGUCACUAUUUCUCCAAUACAUAUAUGUAAGUGCUUAUCGUCUUUUAAUCCUAGAUAUUCUUCUGGAAGUAAUAAUAAAAGUUGAAAGCUGGAAGGAAAA
Molecule: long non-coding RNA, 1028 nt
Filed under: Homo sapiens (human)
Lineage: Eukaryota; Metazoa; Chordata; Mammalia; Primates; Hominidae
Description: long independently transcribed non-coding RNA 1709, transcript variant 6 (LINC01709)
Source: RNAcentral